AGUAACGGCGAGUGAAGCGGUAACAGCUCAAAUUUGAAAUCUGGCCUCACGGUCCGAGUUGUAAUUUGUAGAGGAUGCUUCGAGCAUGGUCUGGCCUAAGUUCCUUGGAACAGGACGUCAUAGAGGGUGAGAAUCCCGUAUGCGGCCAGGUGCCUACGCUCAUGUGAAGCUCCUUCGACGAGUCGAGUUGUUUGGGAAUGCAGCUCAAAAUGGGUGGUAAAUUUCAUCUAAAGCUAAAUAUUGGCCAGAGACCGAUAGCGCACAAGUAGAGUGAUCGAAAGAUGAAAAGCACUUUGGAAAGAGAGUUAAACAGUACGUGAAAUUGUUGAAAGGGAAGCGCUUGCAACCAGACUUGCGCGCGGCCGAUCAUCCGGUGUUCUCACCGGUGCACUCGGCCGUGCUCAGGCCAGCAUCGGUUUUGGCGGCUGGAUAAAGGCCCUAGGAAUGUGGCUCCUCUCGGGGAGUGUUAUAGCCUAGGGUGCAAUGCAGCCUGCUGGGACCGAGGACCGCGCUUCGGCUAGGAUGCUGGCGUAAUGGUUGUAAGCGGCCCGUCUUGAAACACGGACCAAGGAGUCUAACAUCUAUGCGAGUGUUUGGGUGUCAAACCCAUACGCGUAAUGAAAGUGAACGGAGGUGAGAACCCUUAAGGGUGCAUCAUCGACCGGUCCUGAAGUUUACGGAAGGAUCUGAGUAAGAGCAUAGCUGUUGGGACCCGAAAGAU
Molecule: ribosomal RNA, 721 nt
Filed under: Pseudogymnoascus sp.
Lineage: Eukaryota; Fungi; Ascomycota; Leotiomycetes; Thelebolales; Thelebolaceae
Description: partial large subunit ribosomal RNA
Rfam family: Eukaryotic large subunit ribosomal RNA
Source: RNAcentral